RNAcentral lists this ribosomal RNA (478 nucleotides) under uncultured bacterium. RNAcentral describes it as "bacterial SSU rRNA". It matches the Rfam family "Bacterial small subunit ribosomal RNA", at positions 968 to 1445 of the family's 1533-position model. The record is from RNAcentral.
ACCUUACCAGGUCUUGACAUCCUGAGAAUCCUUUAGAGAUAGAGGAGUGCCUUCGGGAACUCAGAGACAGGUGCUGCAUGGCUGUCGUCAGCUCGUGUCGUGAGAUGUUGGGUUAAGUCCCGUAACGAGCGCAACCCUUGUCCUUAGUUGCCAGCACGUAAUGGUGGGAACUCUAAGGAGACUGCCGGUGACAAACCGGAGGAGGGUGGGGACGACGUCAAGUCAUCAUGGCCCUUACGACCUGGGCUACACACGUGCUACAAUGGCCAGUACAGAGGGCUGCAAACCCGCGAGGGAGAGCCAAUCUCACAAAGCUGGUCGUAGUCCGGAUCGCAGUCUGCAACUCGACUGCGUGAAGUUGGAAUCGCUAGUAAUCGUGAAUCAGAAUGUCACGGUGAAUACGUUCCCGGGCCUUGUACACACCGCCCGUCACACCAUGGGAGUGGGUUGCAAAAGAAGUAGCUAGGCUAACCUUCGG